This is a long non-coding RNA of Betta splendens (Siamese fighting fish), 931 nucleotides long. RefSeq lists it as uncharacterized. The transcript is spliced from 3 exons. NCBI's taxonomy places the organism in Eukaryota, Metazoa, Chordata, Actinopteri, Anabantiformes, Osphronemidae. The record is from RefSeq and is a predicted model, not a curated record.
AACUACUAUUUUCCGUCUUUCCCUGGUUAUUUUUCCAAUAUCCACCAUUUUAGAUUUGCAUACUCUCACGGUAAAAAUAAGACCUCUCGCAGGUCUCUAGAGCUUAGUGUUGUCCAUGUUUCUUCAUUACCAGUGCGGUGGUGGACCCAGUGUUUAGUCCCAGUUCCUUAGAGGACCAAGAGUAAACAACAGAAGAAAAGCUGCCAACUAUAAAAACAACUGCCAAUCAGGACCACUACAGGACUGCAGAACAAAACACAAGCGACUGUAGGAACCAGACAACUGGCUGCUGCUCAACAACCACCAGCACUGUGGUUUUUAGAAAACAUGCUGAUGUCAAGCUUUGGGCAAUUUAGGGCCAUUGCACUAUUACUGGCAUAUCAAAAUAUUUUAUUUCUCUGUCAUCAGUCUGGACUGAUUUAAAACCACAGUGAUCAAAAUAACUGUGGACAAGCAAAACGCUGCCAGGUAGUAAUUUAUUGCUGAGCUGCACAUGCUUUAUAGCUUGCACCACCUAACUGAUCUAACAAUUCAAAGGGUUCCUUCGCUAUAACACAGAAUGGUCCUGUAUAAAGCUAUAAUUGUAUAAGCUCUAGCCAUUAAAAUUAUCUAAUUUUCCUGGCGAUGUUGCAGGAGAGGGAGAACUCUAAUCUAUCAUCGAUCUAUCUAUCAGCUUUAAUUGAAUUUUAAAGAAUCAGACAGUCUAAUCUGAAGAUUCACACAUGUACUAAACUGUUCCAUAUUUAUAUCAAUAUGUGUGAAAACGUGUGCUUUAAACCUUUUGACAGCAAGCUUUUGUUUUAUAUGCAAAUGAGCCAGGUCACAGCAUCCUUCUUGUUGUCCUGGUAACGCUAACCAUUGACAUAUGCCAAGCUUACUUGGUUUGUGUCUGCAUGCACCCUACAGUCAAAUAAAUGUAGCAGAAUGCCUA